RNAcentral lists this ribosomal RNA (495 nucleotides) under Neoserica sp. DA3630. Its description in RNAcentral is "partial 16S large subunit ribosomal RNA". It matches the Rfam family "Bacterial large subunit ribosomal RNA", at positions 1844 to 2600 of the family's 2925-position model. Lineage: Eukaryota; Metazoa; Arthropoda; Insecta; Coleoptera; Scarabaeidae. The record is from RNAcentral.
UUUAAAGUCUAAUCUGCCCUAUGAGGUAUUAAAUGGCCGCGGUACUUUGACCGUGCAAAGGUAGCAUAAUAAUUAGUUUUUUAAUUGAAAGCUGGAAUGAAUGAUUGGACGAGAAAAUAGCUGUCUCAAUUUAAUUUUAUUAGAAUUUUAUUUUUAAGUAAGAAAGCUUAAAUGUUAUUAAAAGACGAGAAGACCCUAUAGAGUUUUAUAAUUUAUUAAUUAUUGAUUUUUAAGUUUAAUUUUAUUAAUAAUAGAUGAAUUAUUUUGUUGGGGCGAUAGGGAAAUAGAUUUAACUUUCUUUAUAUGUAAACAUUGAUAUAUGAUUUUUUGAUCCAUAGUUUAUGAUUAUAAGAUUAAGUUACCUUAGGGAUAACAGCGUAAUUUUUUUUUAGAGUUCUUAUCGAAAAAAGAGAUUGCGACCUCGAUGUUGGAUUAAAAUUAAUGCUUGGUGUAGGAGCUAAGUAAUUAGGUCUGUUCGACCUUUAAAAUUUUACA